GGGCCAGUAGCCUAGUCUGGUAACGGUUUCGUCCGUUAACACCGAUAGGCGACUCCUAAUUGUGCUCAAAAAUCUUAAAUGAUUUUUGGCACCCCAAAAUUGCUUUGCAAUUUUGAUGGCUUCGCAACCGGAGUCCCCUGUAAAUUUGAUGGACAAUCGUUAGACAAAUAGGGCGACAGCCUCCUAAGCUGUAGAUCCGGAGUUCAAAUCUUCGCUGGCCCG
Molecule: transfer RNA, 222 nt
Filed under: Candidatus Woesearchaeota archaeon
Lineage: Archaea; Nanobdellati; Candidatus Woesearchaeota
Description: tRNA-Arg
Source: RNAcentral